GGGGAGCCGUGUGCACUCUGCAGGAAGCGAGGGAGACGAGAGCUGAACAGUGUCGAGUGAACGCAGAGUUUAUAGAAGGGCGACAGACAUAUUUUCGGAUUGACGGAUAGUUGACUGGAGUGAAAGCUGUUGUACCCUACUGUGAGUAGGAGGAGACGGACGUCUUGCUGGCGUGUCAGAGAGGUCCCUUCUGCUGGUGUGCUGAAGUUAUAUGUUCACGUGGGAGCACGUGGAGAGGACGACUGAGUGCUGCUGCCGCGCCUGCUGGUAGCAUUGACCCAGUUUCCCCUGCUAUCCCCUUGAACUGCUUGGAGGUAGACUUUAUCACAUUCAUCAUGUCGCUCUCUGCACUGGUACCGCUGCUGCUGCUCGUCUGUAGUGUCCAGGCUAAUUUUUACAGUAUAGUGGUGAACUACUACCCAAGUGGCAAUGAUUCAACAGGAUCUUCCACUGGCAUUCUUUAUUACAAGUUGGGCUACAGCUUCUGCUUGAACAGUGUGCCCUACUACAUCGACGGUCAGCCACUUGUGCUACAAAAGGUCGAUGAGCCGAUAAAUGGAGAGUGGUGCCAAACUGAAGGAGUCAUCUCUAAGUAUUUUUCCAGCAACUCUAUGUUUUCAAUUCCGGCCUCUGGCAUAGACUGGAUCUUUGGCAUCAAAAAUGGCAUCGUAUCAUUUCAAAUUCAGGCUCUGGUGGAACUGAGGAUCCGCUCUGACAUCGGCAAAGCCAACACAUCACCACAGACCACUAUCAUACCAGCUAUCAGAGUUCCAUCAAACUGUCCAAGAAAUCUGAGCCUGUUGAUGUUUGAUCCUGAUGGAGACAUAGUGAAAUGCAGAAAUGGAGAUGCAUCACUCUCAGAGUGUAGGCCCUGCACACCACCAUCUGUUCUCAGCCUUUCACCAUCCUCUUGUACUCUGUCAUUCAGCCCCACGAACAGCAGUGAUGAAGGUCCGUAUGCGGUACAGCUGAUGAUAGAGGACUUUCCCAGACAGAACAUAACGUUGACUCAAACCAACGGGACACAAACAAUAAUAACAACCAACGACGCUAUCAGCAAAAUGCCAGUUCAGUUUGUCGUGAGAGUGGAUCCUGCAGCACCAUCGUGCACAGAGGGACUCUUUCUACCCAUGUUCCUGCCUCCAACCCCAGCCCACAGAACCCAGCUCUACACCAACGUCAAUCAGACUCUGGCUAUCAGCAUCAAGGCACAGACACUUAACUCCACGAUCUCUGAGCUGCUGUUCAGCGCGCCGCACACAGUAACUGAAAGUCAAACAGGCCCAGGAGAGUUCACACUGACGUGGACGCCAUCUGACUCAGUAGCUGGACAAAGCCACCCCAUUUGUUUUGUUGUCCAAGCAGUUUUAGGAGCAGCCAAGUACCACUCUGAGCUUCGAUGUGUCAUUGCGACCGUUAGAAAAGCAUCGCCAACUACAUCACCCAAUACACCAGAGUAUGUUGCAGCUCUGAAAAUGAAGUUGUCUUCUACAGUGGACUUGUCUCAAAUCAAUAGGGAUGUCUUCUUAAAUCAGAUUAAACAGAAACUGGAGUCAUAUGGACUGCCUGAUGACGUCAGUCUGCGCCUCAUAAACAGUGUGCCACAGAUUGGCGUAACUGCAGCGUCCUCUAAUUCUACAAGAUGAACCUGAAGUCCUGCAUCUGCAUGCUCUAUCUUCACUCUUUCUGUACCAAUUGGAAACAUCUGUGUGGAAAGAUAAUACAAAAUCUUACUUAUCACGCAUAAUUUUGCAUUCAACCUGUCUGUCAUAAAAAUUGGUGAUAAAACAUUAUUUGAAGUAGUGUUAAAUUUUUAAAGGAAUCAUUCAAGAUUUGUAAUGUGUGUAAUAUGGGUCUAGAUAAUUCUAUUUCUUAUACUCUCAGUAUAUAUACAUGCUUUUCUGGCGUCAUAAAGUAGUUCUUCCACAUCUUAGCAAUCAGCAGUUAGAAAAAAAUCAAACAAACAAAAAACAGUAAGAUUUUUGAAAACAAUUUUUUUUUCUACAAAAUAAGUCAAACGUUUUUCUUUUUCUCUAAUACAUACAGUGGCUUGCAAAAGUAUGCGGCCCCCUUGAACUUUUCCACAUUUUGUCACAUUACAGCCACAAACAUUAAUCAAUUUUAUUGGAAUUCCACGUGAAAGACCAAUACAAAGUGGUGUACAAGUGAGAAGUGGAACCAAAAUAAUACAUGAUUCCAAACAUUUUUUACAAAUAAAUAACUGAAAUUCUUGCCAUUCUAACACAUGGAUAUGUUUUGUUUUAAACCAUUCCAUUGUUGCCCUGACUUUAUGUUUAUGGUCGUUGUCCUGCUGGAAGGUGAACCUCCGCCCCAGUCUCAAGUCUUUUGCAGACUCCAAGAGGUUUUCUUCCAAAAUUGCCCUGUAUUUGGCUCCAUCCAUUUUCCCAUCAACUCUGACCAGCUUCCCUGUCCCUGCUGAAGAGAAGCACCCCCAGAGCAUGAUGCUGCCACCACCAUAUUUGACAGUGGGGAUGGUGUGUUCAGAGUGAUGUGCAGUGUUAGUUUUCCGCCACACAGAGCGUUUUGCAUUUUGGCCACAAAGUUCCAUUUUGGUCUCAUCUGACCAGAGCACCUUCUUCCACAUGUUUGCUGUGUCCCCCACAUGGCUUGUGGCAAACUGCAAACGGGACUUCUUAUGGUUUUCUGUUAACAAUGGCUUUCUUCUUGCCACUCUUCCAUAAAGGCCAACUUUGUGCAGUGCACGACUAAUAGUUGUCCUAUGGACAGAUUCCCCCACCUGAGCUGUAGAUCUCUGCAGCUCGUCCAGAGUCACCAUGGGCCUCUUGGCUGCAUUUCUGAUCAGCGCUCUCCUUGUUCGGCCUGUGAGUUUAGGUGGACGGCCUUGUCUUGGUAGGUUUACAGUUGUGCCAUACUCCUUCCAUUUCUGAAUGAUUGCUUGAACAGUGCUACGUGGGAUGUUCAAGGCUUGGGAAAUCUUUUUGUAGCCUAAGCCUGCUUUAAUUUUCUCAAUAACUUUGUCCCUGACCUGUCUGGUGUGUUCUUUGGACUUCAUGGUGUUGUUGCUCCCAAUAUUCUCUUAGACAACCUCUCAGGCUGUCACAGAGCAGCUGUAUUUGUACUGACAUUAGAUUACACACAGGUGUACUCUAUUUAGUCAUUAGCACUCAUCAGGCAAUGGCUGUGUCCGAAUUCAGGGGAAGGAUGCUUAAAAUGCCAUAUUUGGAGGCAAUGACGUCACGGCGACGCGACGAAGGCUGUCCGAAUUCAAGUACUCAAAAUGUGGCGACAAAUGUGUCCUACUUUGCCCUGAAUUCUAAGGAUGGUCUGAUGUAUCCUUCAUGUCCUACUAUAUCCCAGGAUUCAUUGUGGGUCAUAGAGGAGAUUUGUUUCUGAUAACGAUGGUGGUCGAAGCAGGAGAGGAAAACACUUUCAAAUGUAAGUAUAUGAAAAUCUGGUGAAAAUCCCGCUGCUGUACAGAACCUGUGAUGUCCAGACGGUGUUCCUCUGGUGUUCUGCUGUGAAAACCUUUGGGCUUAGGGAUUAACAUAGUUGCCAUGGUGUCCUUUCUUCUCUUAUUUGUUGUGUGUGAUCAGGACAAUUCUGGAGAAGCUGGGCCUGCAGGGGAAAGUCACCCCCUUGCAGGCCAGAAGACAUGAGAUAACUUUAAAGAAUACAAAGUACAUAUGUGUGUUAUCAAGAAGAUAAUUCUUAAGAACACAAGUUAAUA
Long non-coding RNA from Oreochromis aureus, 3709 nucleotides. NCBI's taxonomy places the organism in Eukaryota, Metazoa, Chordata, Actinopteri, Cichliformes, Cichlidae. The record is from Ensembl.